AACGAACGCUGGCGGCAGGCUUAACACAUGCCAGUCGAACGCAUGCCUUCGGGCAUGAGUGGCAGACGGGUGAGUAACGCGUGGGAACCUACCCCUUGGUACGGGAUAGCUCCGGGAAACUGGAGAUAAUACCGUAUGUGUCCUGAGGGACAAAGAUUCAUCGCCAAGGGAUGGGCCCGCGUCGGAUUAGCUAGUUGGUGGGGUAACGGCCUACCAAGGCGACGAUCCGUAGCUGGUCUAAGAGGAUGAUCAGCCACAUUGGGACUGAGACACGGCCCAAACUCCUACGGGAGGCAGCAGUGGGGAAUAUUGGACAAUGGGCGCAAGUCUGAUCCAGCCGUGCCGCGUGAGUGAUGAAGGCCCUAGGGUUGUAAAGCUCUUUCACCGGUGACGAUAAUGACGGUAACCGGAGAAGAAGCCCCGGCUAACUUCGUG
This 435-nucleotide ribosomal RNA is filed under the name uncultured bacterium. Its description in RNAcentral is "partial 16S ribosomal RNA". It matches the Rfam family "Bacterial small subunit ribosomal RNA", at positions 29 to 507 of the family's 1533-position model. The record is from RNAcentral.